This 1084-nucleotide long non-coding RNA is filed under the name Dromaius novaehollandiae (emu). Its description in RNAcentral is "lncRNA (ENSDNVG00000006139.1)". Lineage: Eukaryota; Metazoa; Chordata; Aves; Casuariiformes; Dromaiidae. The record is from RNAcentral.
CAGGUUUCUUCCCUGCCUUUGUGUGUGUGUGGUACAUACAUACGUGUAUUAAGUUUAGCGCAUUGCUUGCAACGCACUCCUGCUGCUUGGUUUCUUCUUUAGGGCCAGCAGCUGCUUCUUGUGGCACUGGAGAUCCCAGAAUGCAGCUGAGAGUCAGCUCGACCAAUAAAUCACCUCCGCAAUCCCGCCCCAUCCAUCCCUGCAUACCUAGGGACAGAGGACCAGCGCUACACCCAGYUGACAGAAAGGGAAUCGUGGAGAGGGACCAAGUGACUGGACGAAGGUCACGCAAGGCCGCUGUCAGAGAAAGGAAUCGCGCCUGGGCCUCUUGCAGCAGCGCCUGAGCGUGGCCUCCCGGGCUCUGAGUGCUCCUCAGCAAAAAGGAUUUCACAGUUUAAAAAGGGCCUAUGUUAGGGCCUGCCAUGCCUCAGAAGCCAGCAAGAACAGCAGCUCAGCAGAAGACACCUUUUAAUAUUUUUCCUUCCCGGGCAUCUUUGCAGCUUGCUCAGGAAAGACACACCAUCAUCAGAUAUGGACAGGUGGGCAGGUAAUUCCUUUCAUUUGCCUUUGGAUUCUCAGUGUUGUGUUGGUACAGUAUCAGUCCGGACCCUGCAAGGUUGAGGUUUCUUGCUAGGGUUCCCAAAAACAUCAUUUUGCAAUGUUUUUUUCUAUUUUCUGAGGAGGUCAGAGCGUGAUGGUCAGUGGCUCUGUUGUGAUCUAUAAGUGACUUAGAGGGAGGUGACAGAGGCCAUCUCCCUGCCCCGCAGGACAGUGGCAGAGUGGCAUGUCCAGAGCACAUACACCAGCAGAGCAACGACUCAGAAACUUUAAAGCCAUGACCCUGGAGAGUACUUCAGGCUGCCGAGAUUGAAAAGAUUUAAACAAGAUCCAUGUACCAAGGCCAACGCUUAAAGACACAUUUCGAUAAAUUCUUCUAGAAAAAAACAAACUGAACGUCAACCAGAAGCACUGAAGAUAAUCUUGCUUCAAACGUUGUUAGAAGAAAGUGUCUUUGGCCAAAAUUUCUCUCACUGCUUUUCCCCACUCCAAUAAACCUGGCUGCUGUCUCCGUCUGGGAGAUGAC